UCCGCAGGCGGAUUUAUAAGUCAGUGGUGAAAGCCUACAGCUCAACUGUAGAACUGCCAUUGAUACUGUAAGUCUUGAAUUCGGUCGAAGUGGGCGGAAUGUGACAUGUAGCGGUGAAAUGCUUAGAUAUGUCACAGAACACCGAUAGCGAAGGCAGCUCACUAGGCCUGGAUUGACGCUCAGGGACGAAAGCGUGGGGAGCAAACAGGAUUAGAUACCCGUGUA
RNAcentral lists this ribosomal RNA (225 nucleotides) under uncultured Fluviicola sp. RNAcentral describes it as "partial 16S ribosomal RNA". It matches the Rfam family "Bacterial small subunit ribosomal RNA", at positions 568 to 792 of the family's 1533-position model. Lineage: Bacteria; Pseudomonadati; Bacteroidota; Flavobacteriia; Flavobacteriales; Crocinitomicaceae. The record is from RNAcentral.